This is a non-coding RNA of Salmo salar (Atlantic salmon), 72 nucleotides long. NCBI's taxonomy places the organism in Eukaryota, Metazoa, Chordata, Actinopteri, Salmoniformes, Salmonidae. The record is from Rfam.
UCCCAUGUGGCUCAGUUGGUAGAGCAUGGUGUUUGCAACACCAAGGUUGUAGGUUUGAUUCCCAUGUGGGAC